Molecule: ribosomal RNA, 549 nt
Filed under: uncultured Glomeromycotina
Lineage: Eukaryota; Fungi; Glomeromycota
Description: SSU rRNA
Rfam family: Eukaryotic small subunit ribosomal RNA
Source: RNAcentral
UUGGAGGGCAAGUCUGGUGCCAGCAGCCGCGGUAAUUCCAGCUCCAAUAGCGUAUAUUAAAGUUGUUGCAGUUAAAAAGCUCGUAGUUGAAUUUCGGGGUUAGUAGGUUGGUCAUGCCUCUGGUAUGUACUGGUCUCACUGAUUCCUCCUUCCUGAUGAACCUUAAUGCCAUUAAUUUGGUGUUUUGGGGAAUUUGGACUGUUACUUUGAGAAAAUUAGAGUGUUUAAAGCAAGCUAACGCUUGAAUACAUUAGCAUGGAAUAAUGAAAUAGGACGUUCGAUCCUAUUUUGUUGGUUUCUAGGAUUGACGUAAUGAUUAAUAGGGAUAGUUGGGGGCAUUAGUAUUCAAUUGUCAGAGGUGAAAUUCUUGGAUUUAUUGAAGACUAACUACUGCGAAAGCAUUUGCCAAGGAUGUUUUCAUUAAUCAAGAACGAAAGUUAGGGGAUCGAAGACGAUCAGAUACCGUCGUAGUCUUAACCAUAAACUAUGCCGACUAGGGAUCGGAUGAUGUUAAUUUUUUAAUGACUCAUUCGGCGCCUUACGGGAAAC